UACGAGGGGGGCAAGUGUUGUUCGGAAUUACUGGGCGUAAAGGGAGCGUAGGCGGGCUCUUAAGUUGGAUGUUUAAAACCGGGGCCUAACCCCGGCGUGGCAUCCAAAACUGGGAGUCUUGAAUGGGACAGAGGCCAGUGGAAUUAGAGGUGUAGCGGUGGAAUGCGUAGAUAUCUCUAAGAACACCGGUUGCGAAGGCGGCUGGCUGGGUCCACAUUGACGCUGAGGCUCGAAAGCGUGGGGAGCAAACAGG
Molecule: ribosomal RNA, 253 nt
Filed under: uncultured bacterium
Lineage: Bacteria
Description: partial 16S ribosomal RNA
Rfam family: Bacterial small subunit ribosomal RNA
Source: RNAcentral